GGGGAAUAUUGCACAAUGGGCGCAAGCCUGAUGCAGCGACGCCGCGUGGGGGAUGACGGCCUUCGGGUUGUAAACUCCUUUCGCCAGGGACGAAGCGCAAGUGACGGUACCUGGAGAAGAAGCACCGGCCAACUACGUGCCAGCAGCCGCGGUAAUACGUAGGGUGCGAGCGUUGUCCGGAAUUACUGGGCGUAAAGAGCUCGUAGGCGGUUUGUCACGUCGUCUGUGAAAUCCUGCAACUCAAUUGUAGGCGUGCAGGCGAUACGGGCAGACUUGAGUACUACAGGGGAGACUGGAAUUCCUGGUGUAGCGGUGAAAUGCGCAGAUAUCAGGAGGAACACCGGUGGCGAAGGCGGGUCUCUGGGUAGUAACUGACGCUGAGGAGCGAAAGCGUGGGGAGCAAAC
Molecule: ribosomal RNA, 405 nt
Filed under: uncultured bacterium
Lineage: Bacteria
Description: bacterial SSU rRNA
Rfam family: Bacterial small subunit ribosomal RNA
Source: RNAcentral